This 478-nucleotide ribosomal RNA is filed under the name uncultured bacterium. RNAcentral describes it as "partial 16S ribosomal RNA". It matches the Rfam family "Bacterial small subunit ribosomal RNA", at positions 28 to 507 of the family's 1533-position model. The record is from RNAcentral.
GAUGAACGCUGGCGGCGUGCUUAACACAUGCAAGUCGAACGAGAAGUGAAGACGGAACCCUUCGGGCGGAAGGCUUUAUUUCGAGUUGCGGACGGGUGAGUAACGCGUGGGUAACCUGCCUCAUACAGGGGGAUAACAGUUGUAAACGACUGUUAAUACCGCAUAAGACCACAGCACCGCAUGGUGCGGGGGUAAAAACUCCGGUGGUAUGGGAUGGACCCGCUUUCGAUUAGCCAGUUGGCGGGGUAAUUGCCCAGCAACGCGGCGAUCGGUAGCCGAUCUGAGAGGAUGACCGGCCACAUUGGGACUGAGACACGGCCCAAACUCCUACGGGAGGCAGCAGUGGGGAAUAUUGCACAAUGGGGGAAACCCUGAUGCAGCGACGCCGCGUGAGUGAAGAAGUAUUUCGGUAUGUAAAGCUCUAUCAGCAGGGAAGAAAAUGACGGUACCUGAGUAAGAAGCCCCGGCUAACUACGUG